AAACAGCUCAGGACGAACGCUGGCGGCGUGCCUAAUACAUGCAAGUCGAACGAACUCUGGUAUUGAUUGGUGCUUGCAUCAUGAUUUACAUUUGAGUGAGUGGCGAACUGGUGAGUAACACGUGGGAAACCUGCCCAGAAGCGGGGGAUAACACCUGGAAACAGAUGCUAAUACCGCAUAACAACUUGGACCGCAUGGUCCGAGUUUGAAAGAUGGCUUCGGCUAUCACUUUUGGAUGGUCCCGCGGCGUAUUAGCUAGAUGGUGAGGUAACGGCUCACCAUGGCAAUGAUACGUAGCCGACCUGAGAGGGUAAUCGGCCACAUUGGGACUGAGACACGGCCCAAACUCCUACGGGAGGCAGCAGUAGGGAAUCUUCCACAAUGGACGAAAGUCUGAUGGAGCAACGCCGCGUGAGUGAAGAAGGGUUUCGGCUCGUAAAACUCUGUUGUUAAAGAAGAACAUAUCUGAGAGUAACUGUUCAGGUAUUGACGGUAUUUAACCAGAAAGCCACGGCUAACUACGUGCCAGCAGCCGCGGUAAUACGUAGGUGGCAAGCGUUGUCCGGAUUUAUUGGGCGUAAAGCGAGCGCAGGCGGUUUUUUAAGUCUGAUGUGAAAGCCUUCGGCUCAACCGAAGAAGUGCAUCGGAAACUGGGAAACUUGAGUGCAGAAGAGGACAGUGGAACUCCAUGUGUAGCGGUGAAAUGCGUAGAUAUAUGGAAGAACACCAGUGGCGAAGGCGGCUGUCUGGUCUGUAACUGACGCUGAGG
RNAcentral lists this ribosomal RNA (769 nucleotides) under Lactiplantibacillus plantarum. Its description in RNAcentral is "bacterial SSU rRNA". It matches the Rfam family "Bacterial small subunit ribosomal RNA", at positions 17 to 751 of the family's 1533-position model. The record is from RNAcentral. Lineage: Bacteria; Bacillati; Bacillota; Bacilli; Lactobacillales; Lactobacillaceae.